CGCCAACCAGGAUUUCUGGACAACCUGGGGAUUUUGGGGAACACUACCCGGCAACCCCUGCGGCUCAGUCUAAACAAUCAUGACAUGAUGCUCCAAAUGGUUAUCCAAUCAUACUAUAGCGAUCUGAGCUUGCGUUUUAUGUAUUUUAAUUCCUUCAGAUCAUAUGAAGAUAUUCCGAUUUAUUCCAUCCAUUUCAAACAGUUCAAAUUAGUUGUACCUACCGACCAUUGAUUUGGGUAGAUCUAUCAGCCAAAUGUCUCAUUAAUUUAAUGUGACUUGCUUCAGCAGUCAACAUAUGAGCUUUAUCACACUUUGACUUAUUGCUGGCCCUAUCAAUCACCACAUCUUAAGACAUACGCUACCGUUCAAAAGUUUGGGGUCACUUAGAAAUGUCCUUGUUUUCCAUGAAAACAUACAUUAAAUGAGUUGCAAAAUGAAUAGGAAAUAUAGUCAAAACGUUAACAAGGUUAUAAAUAAUUAUUUUUCCUUGAAAUAAUAAUUGUGUCCUUCAAACUUUGCUUUUGUCAAAGAAUCCUCCAUUUGCAGCAAUUAUAGCCUUGCAGACUUUUGGCAUUCUAGUUGAGGCAAUUUGUUGAGGUAAUCUGAAGAGACUUCACCCCAUGCUUCCUGAAGCAGCUCCCACAAGUUGGAUUGGCUUGAUGGGAACUUCUUACGUACCAUACGGUCAAGCUGCUCCCACAACAGCUCAAUAGGGUUGAGAUCCGGUGACUGUGCUGGCCACUCCAUUAAAGACAGCUGGUAUUCUGACUGCUUCUUCCCUAAAUAGUUCUUGCAUAGUUUGGAGCUGUGCUUUGGGUCAUUGUCCUGUUGUAGGAGGAAAUUGUCUCCAAUUAAGCGCCGUCCACAGGGUAUGACAUGGCGUUGCAAAAUGGAGCGAAAGCCUUCCUUCUUCAAGAUCCCUUUGACCCUGUACAAAUCUCCCACUUUACCGCCACCAACACACCCCCAGACCAUCACAUUGCCUCUGCCAUGAUUGACAGAUGGCAUCAAGCACUCCUCCAGCAUAUUUUCAUUUUUUUUUAUGCAUCUCACGAAUGUUCUUCUUUGUGAUCCGAACACCUCAAACUUAGAUUCGUCUGUCCAUAACACUCCCCCCCCAAACUUCCUCUGUCCAGUGUCUGUGUUCUUUUGCCCAUCUUAAUAUUUUAUUUUUAUUGGCCAGUCUGAGACAUGGCUUUUUCUUUGCAACUCUGCCUAGAAGGUACUAUUUAAUGAAGCUGCCAGUUGAGGACUUGUGAGGAGUCUGUUUCUCAAACUAGACACUCUAAUGUACUUGUCCUCUUGCUCAGUUGUGCACCGGGGCCUCCCACUCCUCUUUCUAUUCUGGUUAGAGCCAGUUUGCGCUGUUCCGUGAAGGGAGUAGUACACAGUGUUGUACGAGAUCUUCAGUUUCUUGGCAAUUUCUCGCAUGUAAUAGCCUUCCUUUCUCAGAACAAGAAUAGACUGACGAGUUUCAGAAGAAAGUUCUUUGUUUCUGGCCAUUUUGAGCCUGUAAUUGAACCCACAAAUGCUGAUGCUCCAGAUACUCAACUAGUCUAAAGAAUGCCAGUUUUUUUUGCCUCUUUAAUCAGAACAACAGUUUUCAGCUGUGCUAACAUAAUUGCAAAAGGGUUUUCUAAUGAUCAAUUAGCCUUUUUAAAAUUUAUAAACUUGGAUUAGCUAACACAACAUGCCAUUGGAACACAGAAGUGAUGGUUGCUGAUAAUGGGCCUCUGUACGCCUAUGUAGAUAUUCCAUAAAAAAACAAAAUCAGCCUUUUCCAGCUACAAUAGUCAUUUACAACAUUAACAAUGUCUACACUGUAUUUCUGAUCAAUUUGAUGUUAUUUUAAUGGACACUAAAAAAAAAGUGCUUUUCUUUCAAAAACAAGGACAUUUCUCAGUAACCUCAAACUUUUGAACGGUAAUGUAAUUCCAAUCAAACCAAUGAACAGCCCUUUUAUCUAUCAGUGGGUGAUGAGGAACUAUAUCACCAG
RNAcentral lists this long non-coding RNA (1996 nucleotides) under Salmo salar (Atlantic salmon). Its description in RNAcentral is "lncRNA (ENSSSAG00000099690.1)". The record is from RNAcentral. Lineage: Eukaryota; Metazoa; Chordata; Actinopteri; Salmoniformes; Salmonidae.